UUCCCGGGUCUUGUACACACCGCCCGUCACACCACGAAAGUCGGCAAUACCCGAAGCCGGUGGCCUAACCCGCAAGGGAGGGAGCCGUCGAAGGUAGGGUCGAUGAUUGGGGGUG
This 115-nucleotide ribosomal RNA is filed under the name uncultured bacterium. RNAcentral's name for it is "partial 16S ribosomal RNA". It matches the Rfam family "Bacterial small subunit ribosomal RNA", at positions 1371 to 1482 of the family's 1533-position model. The record is from RNAcentral.